GUGAAUCAUCGAAUCUUUGAACGCACAUUGCGCCCUUUGGUAUUCCGAAGGGCAUGCCUGUUCGAGCGUCAUUAUCACCCCUCGAGCCCCUGUGGCUUGGCUUUGGACGGUCUGGUUAGGCGACUGACCCCUCCUAAAGACAAUGACGGCGGCCUCGCAGGACCCCCGGUACACUGAGCUUCUUAACUGAGCACGUAUCGGAUCGAGGGUUCUCGGGGCACGGUCUCCUUUCCCCCCUCCCCUCGGGGCGGUGGGAAAACAAUCUUUCUCAGGUUGACCUCGGAUCAGGUAGGGAUACCC
This 300-nucleotide unclassified non-coding RNA is filed under the name uncultured Exophiala. Its description in RNAcentral is "sequence contains 5.8S rRNA gene, ITS2". The stretch from base 1 to 71 matches the Rfam family "5.8S ribosomal RNA", at positions 84 to 154 of the family's 154-position model. Lineage: Eukaryota; Fungi; Ascomycota; Eurotiomycetes; Chaetothyriales; Herpotrichiellaceae. The record is from RNAcentral.